Capsella rubella is the source of this 103-nucleotide small nucleolar RNA. It matches the Rfam family "Small nucleolar RNA snoR100". Lineage: Eukaryota; Viridiplantae; Streptophyta; Magnoliopsida; Brassicales; Brassicaceae. The record is from Rfam.
UAAUGAAUGUAGCAUGGUACUGUACUCGGAAACUGAACUUGUGAUCGACAUGUCUGCCAUCUCUGAUUUCCCUGAUGAGACGGCCUGGUUUAGAUCCACACUC